Molecule: ribosomal RNA, 440 nt
Filed under: uncultured bacterium
Lineage: Bacteria
Description: bacterial SSU rRNA
Rfam family: Bacterial small subunit ribosomal RNA
Source: RNAcentral
AACGAACGCUGGCGGCAGGCCUAACACAUGCAAGUCGAGCGCACUUAUGACCUUCGGGUUAUAGGCGAGCGGCGGACGGGUUAGUAACGCGUGGGAACGUACCCUUUACUACGGAAUAGCCUUUGGAAACGAAGAGUAAUACCGUAUACGCCCUUUGGGGGAAAGAUUUAUCGGUAAAGGAUCGGCCCGCGUUAGAUUAGAUAGUUGGUGGGGUAAUGGCCUACCAAGUCUACGAUCUAUAGCUGGUUUGAGAGGAUGAUCAGCAACACUGGGACUGAGACACGGCCCAGACUCCUNACGGGAGGCAGCAGUGGGGAAUCUUAGACAAUGGGCGAAAGCCUGAUCUAGCCAUGCCGCGUGAGUGAAGAAGGCCUUAGGGUCGUAAAACUCUUUCGCCAGAGAUAUAAUGACAGUAUCGUGGUAAAGAAACCCCGCUAACU